Bos taurus (domestic cattle) is the source of this 1351-nucleotide long non-coding RNA. Lineage: Eukaryota; Metazoa; Chordata; Mammalia; Artiodactyla; Bovidae. The record is from Ensembl.
GGUGGAAGGGAGAGUCAGAGAUUCAAAGCAUGAGGAAUUCGGGCCACACGAGGAGUCUAGGCAGCCUGUAGGAACAGAGAGAAGCUCCCAGUGCCCAGCCAGCCAGGAAACAGGACCUCAGAGCCAUAGCCACAGGGAACUGGAUUCUGCCAGCAAAAGAGGUAGGUUCUUCCCGAGAUCCUCCAGGCAAGAUCCCAGCCCAGUGGACACCUUGAUUUCGGCCUUGUGGGACCCUGAGCAGAAAACCCAGAGCCCGGAUUUUGUUUAGCUGUCCACCCUCCUCCCUGAGGUUCAGUGGAAGAAGACCCCACUCAGAGCUACAGGAGGAGCAUCCUGAUUGCUUAAUUCAAUCAUGGCUCCACAUACCUCCUGCCAUGGAUAUGGGACCUUACUAAGGAAGUGUGAGAGGCUUCCCUGGUAGCUCAGUCGGUAAAGAAUCUGCCUGCAGUUCAGGAGACCUGGGUUCAAUCCCUAGGUCAGGAAGAUACCCUGGAGAAGGAAAUGGCAGACCAUUCCAGUAUUCUUGCCUGGAAAGUCCCAUAGACAGAGGAGCCUGGCCGGCCACAGUCCAUGGAAUCGUAAGAGUCAGACAUGAUUUAGCAACUAAACCACCUGGGAAAGGCAUCUUUACUCCAUUCAAAGAGAACAGGAGGAGGUGGCCCACUUCCUACACUGGAUGUUAUGGGGCCUGAGGGCAAAUCCCAUACGCUGAGCGCAGAGAUUUGCCCCAAAGAACCUGGGCCUUUGUGACUUCAAAUGCCAUUGCUCAUACUACGCCUGAAGAACAAUAUUCUGCCGGCGGCAUUUCCUUAUAGCUGAAGCCAUUUUGAAUCAGGUUCCAGUCCCUUUCCACUGAAAGCACCUACCUAGUAACCUUGGUUGGACAACAGAAUGUGGACACCCUUGGUGCAUUGUUUGUACAAGGUCAGCUUCAUGGGUCUGUGGCUUGUGCUGUCACAUGAAGCCCCAUGCUCAGUAGGAACUCUGACUUGAUUUAAUUUUCUGCUGUUACUGUUAUGAAAUUCUUAACUUCUGAACAGGAGGCCCCGCACUUUCAUUUCACAAUGGGCCCCCCGAUUUAUGUAGCCGGUCUUGGUGAUGUGACAUUUCUUAUCUCCUUGUUUUUCUUUAUCUGCCCUCUCAACCUUUGAAUCCUCAUAAGACAAUGCCUCAUCUGCAAAACCCACCAGCUUAACUAAAAUGAGGAGGUUGAAACAUUCUUCAGCUGAUCCCUAAGGAGACUACCAGCACUGCUAAGAACUCAGCUUCCCUCAUCCCAGUUUGGUACUCAACAUUUCAGUAUCCCAAGUUGACCUUCACAAGGCAAAACCUAAGCCCCCUUGCCUGGUAU